UACAGAGGGUGCAAGCGUUGUGCGGAAUUACUGGGCGUAAAGCGCGUGUAGGCGGCUAUACAAGUCGGAUGUGAAAUCCCGCGGCUUAACCGUGGAAGUGCACCCGAAACUGUAUCGCUAGAGUCCCGGAGAGGAUGGUGGAAUACUUGGUGUAGAGGUGAAAUUCGUAGAUAUCAAGUGGACCACCGGUGGCGAAGGCGGCCUUCUGGACGGUGACUGACGCUGAGACGCGAAAGCGUGGGUAGCAAACAGG
This 253-nucleotide ribosomal RNA is filed under the name uncultured bacterium. Its description in RNAcentral is "partial 16S ribosomal RNA". It matches the Rfam family "Bacterial small subunit ribosomal RNA", at positions 524 to 776 of the family's 1533-position model. The record is from RNAcentral.